This 1362-nucleotide long non-coding RNA is filed under the name Gallus gallus (chicken). RNAcentral describes it as "lncRNA (ENSGALG00000048088.1)". Lineage: Eukaryota; Metazoa; Chordata; Aves; Galliformes; Phasianidae. The record is from RNAcentral.
GAAUGUAGGGAACCAUUUUCCCUGAAGGAAGGAAGCUUAAGUCUUCUGGUGGCUCUGGGGAGCUCUGUGGAAGAAGGCUCCUGAAGAGCCAGAAUGAUGUGAUGGAGCAGCAGGUGAUGCUGAAAGACUUCAAGAGGAGUUAGAGUUAUAGCUGGUGUGGAUUUACCACGAUCUUCCCAUCCAUGUUCUCCUGGAUAAUCAGCCAAUCUCCAGUGCUGAAUUCCCAGAGCUGGGCUCACGAAGGAGCAGAAAGGGAAGUGAGCAGAUUCAUCAUGCUUAUGUGGCUUCGGACCAUAAGUGCUUUGUUUGGGAGCACGCUUGGAAACUCAGCUGUUGUGCUGGAAAACAUUCAGUAUUUAUGUAUCAACAGUGAAUAACUGCCUCCAGACAGCCAGAAGGAUGCAAUUCGUGCAGUGGGAUGGGGCAAUGCUGGGUGAGGGGCUUUGCACGGGACCUCUCUGAGCAAUGGGUUUGGGCCAUGAGGAUGGGAGUGGCAGUGGAAGGAGAGCACAUCUGUGUGCUGCCUGUGCAGAGCCCAGGAAGAGCCCCCAGUGAAAGGAACAAACUCUUGGUCCACAUGCAGCUCUGCAGAGAUGAAGCCAACAGUCCUUGCUUGAGACUGCACAGGUGAUCAAGCCAAGAAGCCACUGCAGAUGGAGAAAGCCAAGCUGAGAAGCUGCAACACUUCCAGGCACUUGACUUUCUCAAGGAAGGAGAGUGGUGGGAGACUUUGGUCUUCUGGGUGUCCCUUGGCAUUGCAUGGGCACUUGGCAAAGGCUUCAAGCACUCUUAUUUCCCCCCCAGUUCUGUACGAUCUUAUUUUCAAAAGCAGCUUGGGCACUUGGCAUUCAUUUCCCUAUGGAGUGCCAAUGGAAACCAGGUUCCUGUGGCCUGCCUCUAUCUUGAGGGUAUCAAUCAAUUUGCUUGCACUGACACUUCAGGUAAUUAGACAGCUAAUUGGGAUGUGAUCCUCAGAACGGAUCACUUCUGCAAAUGCUACCUCAGACAUUUAAACUCCAGGUGCUUGAUUUGUUUCUCUGAUUCCUCCCAAGUCCAUGACCCUAUUAGGAGGUCACCUAAAAAGAGGAAACAAAUCCUGCCUUUUGGGAGGUCUGCUUUUUGUUCCUUGGUUGUUUGGAUAUUUUUGGCAAGCUGCUGACCCUGCCUGGAUGUCUCUGGUUUGUUUCUAUCCCCAGAGCAGAGCUCUUGGCAUUGCCUUCACACUUACCUUGAUGACAUUCUGGAGCUGUGCUUGGCUAUUACAUCUCAAUGCGUGUGCAUCUCCUUUGCUAUUCACCACCUUCACUCUCCUAUUUAAAAGUGUAAAUAAUGACAUGUCCUGGGAAUAAACAAUGAGUUCAG